This is a long non-coding RNA of Oncorhynchus tshawytscha (Chinook salmon), 3087 nucleotides long. Lineage: Eukaryota; Metazoa; Chordata; Actinopteri; Salmoniformes; Salmonidae. The record is from Ensembl.
UAGUCAUUGAUAACUAGUAAGUAACUGGUACCUAAUAACUGAUAACUAGUAAGUAACUGGUACCUAAUAACUAGUCAUUGAUAACUAGUAAGUAACUGGUACCUAAUAACUUAUAACUAGUAAGUAACUGGUGCCUAAUAAUUGAUAACUUGUCAUUGAUAACUAGUAAGUAACUGAUACCUAAUAACUGAUAACUAGUAAGUAACUGGUACCUAAUAAUUGAUAACUAGUCAUUGAUAACUAGUAAGUAACUGGUACCUAAUAACUGAUAACUAGUAAGUAACUGGUACCUAAUAACGAGUCAUUGAUAACUAGUAAGUAACUGGUACCUAAUAACUGAUAACUAGUAAGUAACUGGUACCUAAUAACUGAUAACUAGUCAUUGAUUACUAGUAAGUAACUGGUACCUAAUAACUGAUAACUAGUAAUUGAGACCUAUGAGGGUUAUCAUGGGCAGUUUACAGGUACAUUAUAUGAUUUGUUGAGAUGACUUGACAAUCAAGAAUAAUCAUACAAAUCUAUAAUCUAUAAAUCUAUAAUCUUCUGGUAGGUCUGCCUCAAUUUGUAACUCACUGUUUCCUAAUCCUGGGACCCAAAAGGGUGAGCAUUUCUGUUGUUGAACUAACACACUUGACUGAUGGAGGUGUAUUAGAGCUAGGACAAUAACAAAAAUGUGCACCUUGGGUCCCAGGGACCAGGAUUGGAAAACACAGUUGAAACUGAUGCUGCCUCGGUUGAAUAGAAGUCGCAAUGUUUUCCUUGAGAAAACAUUUUUGUUUUAUUGCCAGUGUGAGUUCUGGGACAUUUUUGUUUUAUUGUCAGUGUGAGUUCUGGGACAUUUUUGUUUUAUUGCCAGUGUGAGUUCUGGGACAUUUUUGUUUUAUUGUCAGUGUGAGUUCUGGGACAUUUUUGUUUUAUUGCCAGUGUGAGUUCUGGGACAUUUCUGUUUUAUUGUCAGUGUGAGUUCUGGGACAUUUUUGUUUUAUUGUCAGUGUGAGUUCUGGGACAUUUUUGUUUUAUUGUCAGUGUGAGUUCUGGGACAUUUUUGUUUUAUUGCCAGUGUGAGUUCUGGGACAUUUUUGUUUUAUUGUCAGUGUGAGUUCUGGGACAUUUUUGUUUUAUUGUCAGUGUGAGUUCUGGGACAUUUUUGUUUUAUUGUCAGUGUGAGUUCUGGGACAUUUUUGUUUUAUUGCCAGUGUGAGUUCUGGGACAUUUUUGUUUCUGAACCUCAAGCCUAUAUGCUGUAUUUAUAAAGGUAUUGUGUUAUUUUGGGGAUUUUCACAGUUUCUGUUUUUUGUUUACUAAUACACACGGCAGAAAGUAUAACGUAAUAUGCAAAAAGAGGACGAUGUAGAUUUGAUAAGUUACUUAAUUUGAGAAAUGUUUGCUUUUUUUGUGAUUUAUUUUUACAAGCUCAACUUUUAUAAAGGUUAAGUUAAAUGAAUGUAAUUGGCUUUGCAAGUAUUCGAUCAGAUUAAACGUGAGCCAACACAACAAACGGUAAUGAAUGUAACUAAAGGUGUGGUUUCCAAAUGUCACCCUGUUCUCUAUGUUCUGCAUGAAACUAUAAACUGAGUGGACAAAACAUUAAGAACACCGGCUUUUUCCAGGACAGACAGACCAGGUGAAAGCUAUGAUCCCUUAUUGAUGUCACUUGUUAAAUCCACUUCAAAUCAGUGUCGAUGACGGGUUAAAGAGGGAUUUUUUUAAGCCUUGAGUCAAUUGGGACAUGGAUUGUGUGUAUGUGUGCCAAUCCAAUCAAAUCAAAUCAAAUUUUAUUUGUCACAUACACAUGGUUAGCAGAUGUUAAUGCGAGUGUAGCGAAAUGCUUGUGCUUCUAGUUCCGACAAUGCAGUAAUAACCAACAAGUAAUCUAACUAACAAUUCCAAAACUACUGUCUUAUACACAGUGUAAGGGGAUAAAGAAUAUGUACAUAAGGAUAUAUGAAUGAGUGAUGGUACAGAGCAGCAUAGGCAAGAUACAGUAGAUGAUAUCGAGUACAGUAUAUACAUAUGAGAUGAGUAUGUAAACAAAGUGGCAUAGUUAAAGGGGCUAGUGAUACAUGUAUUACAUAAGGAUGCAGUCGAUGAUAUAGAGUACAGUAUAUACGUAUGCAUAUGAGAUGAAUAAUGUAGGGUAAGUAACAUUAUAUAAGGUAGCAUUGUUUAAAGUGGCUAGUGGGCAAGACACAUAUUAAAGAGGCUGAAUGGGCAAGACACAUAUUAAAGAGGCUGAAUGGGCAAGACACAUAUUAAAGUGCCUUUGAACGGGGUCUGGUAGUAAGUGCCAGGCGCAACGGUUUAGGUGUGUCGAGAACUGCAAUGCAAGUCAAUAUUAGGAAGGUGUUCUUAAUGUUUUGUACACUGUAUAUACACUACACUAUAUAGCCCAGGAAUGGGGUGCCAUUUUAGGGGCGCAACAAACUCAAAUGUCAGUUUUUACUCAUAUUUAAAAAGUGCAGUUUGUAUUGGGAUAAAAUCCUUCACAAGAAAAGGGACAAGAGACCGGCACCUUGAUGAGUUGAAUAGUUUAUAAAAUGAUAUAUAUGUUCACAGUAGAUGGUGGUAACCUCAAUGUAAUUGGCUACUGGAAGGUUUUACUGUAUCUGUAAGUAAGGAUCGUUGUGUUUGACAAUAAAAUAAAUAAUCUAGAUGGAAAAUGAAAGGUUGAUGUGAGAAGCCAUUACAGUGUGACUUGUUCAUAGUCACAAAUGCAUGUUACUGAUGUAUGUAAACCAGUUAUGUCUGAUUAUUGGUGUUUACAUUUCAUUGACCCUUUAUUUAACAAGGCAAGUCAGUUAAGAACAAAUUCUUAUUUUUACAAUGAUGGCCUACCUCGGCCAAAACGUAACCCGAAUGACGCUGGGCCAAUUGUGCUCCGCCCUAUGGGACUCCCGAUCACGGCCGGUUGUGAAACAGCCCGGGAUCGAACCAGGGUCUGUAGUGACGACUCUAGCACUGAGAUGCAGUGCCUUAGACCACUGCGCCACUCGGGAGCCCCCACCUGUCGUGUUUACCAAUGUUUCACAGAAAAAUGCAUUGAAAAUACAGGGAGCAUUACUUGAUUCACAGCAAACAACAUUUACU